This 500-nucleotide long non-coding RNA is filed under the name Phasianus colchicus (ring-necked pheasant). RNAcentral describes it as "lncRNA (ENSPCLG00000001125.1)". Lineage: Eukaryota; Metazoa; Chordata; Aves; Galliformes; Phasianidae. The record is from RNAcentral.
GACAUCUUCAGGGUUGCAGUAAAUCACUCUGCCUGCCACAGCCCCAGGGGACUACUGAAAGACAAGAGGGCUACAGCUGAUUUUCACACCCUUGACUUCUCAACUGCCAUAACUUCUGCACAUGGCACCUGGCAAGGGGGAAUAACUGGAAGACUGCCUGAGCCUCCAGAUCUGCCACUCUUCAGAUCACAGCUGAAAAAGCUGCCAAAGUGGUCACUUGGAAAGCACAUCACUACCACAUCCCCAGGUCUCGAUCAUGGUAAUAAUGUGAAGAUUUACACCAGCUGAAAAUUUUGAUGCAUGUCUCCUCAAAGCUAAUUUAAUUUUACUCCAGAAGGAUUCGUAUUCAUUCCAGUUCCCUCAAAUAUUAUGUGCAUAAAUUAAGAAGCACUGUUCAGAAGAUGGAGCUCUGGGAGUCACCUGUAUAACUCAGCAGCCUUGAAAGACACAGAUUGUACAGAGCUCAGAGAAUAAGAAACAAGUAUUGACAUUUUGAUUAU